GCAAGUCGAACGAGGUGCUUGAGUAGCAAUACAAGAGUAUCCUAGUGGCGAACGGGUGAGUAACGCGUGGAUGACCUGCCCCAAAGUGUGGGAUAACAGUCCGAAAGGAUUGCUAAUACCUCAUGUGGUUAUCGGUUUUAGAAAGCGAUAACUAAAGCAGCAAUGCGCUUUGGGAGGGAUCUGCGUCCCAUCAGCUAGUUGGUGAGGUAACGGCUCACCAAGGCGACGACGGGUAGGGGACCUGAGAGGGUGGCCCCCCACAAUGGAACUGAAACACGGUCCAUACACCUACGGGUGGCAGCAGUAGGGAAUAUUGCUCAAUGGGCGAAAGCCUGAAGCAGCAACGCCGCGUGUGCGAUGAAGGCCUUCGGGUCGUAAAGCACUUUUCUGAGAGAUGAGAAAGGACAGUAUCUCAGGAAUAAGUCUCGGCUAACUACGUGCCAGCAGCCGCGGUAAAACGUAGGAGGCGAGCGUUAUCCGGAUUCACUGGGCGUAAAGCGCGUGCAGGCGGUUCGGUAAGUUGGGCGUGUAAUCUCUUGGCUUAACUAGGAGAGGUCGUUCAAUACUACCGGGCUUGAGAGUGGUAGAGGAAGAUGGAAUUCCAGGUGUAGUGGUGAAAUGCGUAGAUAUCUGGAGGAACACCAGUGGCGAAAGCGAUCUUCUGGACCAUUUCUGACGCUCAGGCGCGAAAGCUAGGGUAGUAAACGGGAUUAGAGACCCCGGUAAUCCUAGCCGUAAACGAUGUAAACUUGGCGUCGGUGGCUUAAACUCCAUCGGUGCCGUAGCUAACGCGAUAAGUUUACCGCC
This 807-nucleotide ribosomal RNA is filed under the name uncultured bacterium. Its description in RNAcentral is "bacterial SSU rRNA". It matches the Rfam family "Bacterial small subunit ribosomal RNA", at positions 57 to 873 of the family's 1533-position model. The record is from RNAcentral.